RNAcentral lists this ribosomal RNA (497 nucleotides) under uncultured bacterium. RNAcentral's name for it is "partial 16S ribosomal RNA". It matches the Rfam family "Bacterial small subunit ribosomal RNA", at positions 28 to 507 of the family's 1533-position model. The record is from RNAcentral.
GAUGAACGCUGGCGGCGUGCCUAAUACAUGCAAGUCGAGCGAACAGAUGAGGAGCUUGCUCCUCUGACGUUAGCGGCGGACGGGUGAGUAACACGUGGAUAACCUACCUAUAAGACUGGGUUAACUUCGGGAAACCGGAGCUAAUACCGGAUAAUAUAUUGAACCGCAUGGUUCAAUAGUGAAAGACGGUUUUGCUGUCACUUAUAGAUGGAUCCGCGCCGCAUUAGCUAGUUGGUAAGGUAACGGCUUACCAAGGCAACGAUGCGUAGCCGACCUGAGAGGGUGAUCGGCCACACUGGAACUGAGACACGGUCCAGACUCCUACGGGAGGCAGCAGUAGGGAAUAUUCCGCAAUGGGCGAAAGCCUGACGGAGCAACGCCGCGUGAGUGAUGAAGGGCUUCGGAUCGUAAAACUCUGUUAUUAGGGAAGAACAAAUGUGUAAGUAACUAUGCACGUCUUGACGGUACCUAAUCAGAAAGCCACGGCUAACUACGUG